Molecule: ribosomal RNA, 432 nt
Filed under: uncultured bacterium
Lineage: Bacteria
Description: partial 16S ribosomal RNA
Rfam family: Bacterial small subunit ribosomal RNA
Source: RNAcentral
ACGAACGCUGGCGGCAUGCCUAACCCCUGCCAGUCGAACGAGACCUUCGGGUCUAGUGGCGCCCGGGUGCGUAACGCGUGGGAACCUGCCUUUAGGUUCGGAAUAACUCAGAGAAAUUUGAGCUAAUACCGGAUGAUGUCUUCGGACCAAAGAUUUAUCGCCUUUAGAUGGGCCCGCGUUGGAUUAGCUAGUUGGUGGGGUAAAGGCCUACCAAGGCGACGAUCCAUAGCUGGUCUGAGAGGAUGAUCAGCCACACUGGGACUGAGACACGGCCCAGACUCCUACGGGAGGCAGCAGUGGGGAAUAUUGGACAAUGGGCGAAAGCCUGAUCCAGCAAUGCCGCGUGAGUGAUGAAGGCCUUAGGGUUGUAAAGCUCUUUUACCCGAGAUGAUAAUGACAGUAUCGGGAGAAUAAGCUCCGGCUAACUCCGUG